RNAcentral lists this long non-coding RNA (221 nucleotides) under Nicotiana benthamiana. Its description in RNAcentral is "long non-coding RNA (NBEN_LNC007751)". The record is from RNAcentral. Lineage: Eukaryota; Viridiplantae; Streptophyta; Magnoliopsida; Solanales; Solanaceae.
GUUAGAUAUGUAAAUAUAGUAGAACUCUAGUUAUAGUAGAACUCUAGGUUAUUAGUAGUAUAUAUAGGGCUCAUUGUAUUAUGUUUAAUAUCAGUUAUAUUCUUCUCCCGUGCUUUCUCAAAUGGUAUCAGAGCUUUGGUGAGAAUAGUAUAGCUGUGCGUCAUUCCAGCUAUUUCCGGGAAGAAGACCUCGUCGCCGUGCAAUUUUCCGGCGACUUAACA